Molecule: ribosomal RNA, 595 nt
Filed under: Trichoderma virens
Lineage: Eukaryota; Fungi; Ascomycota; Sordariomycetes; Hypocreales; Hypocreaceae
Description: eukaryotic LSU rRNA
Rfam family: 5.8S ribosomal RNA (bases 258-411)
Source: RNAcentral
UGGAAGUAAAAAAGUCGUAACAAGGUCUCCGUUGGUGAACCAGCGGAGGGAUCAUUACCGAGUUUACAACUCCCAAACCCAAUGUGAACGUUACCAAACUGUUGCCUCGGCGGGAUCUCUGCCCCGGGUGCGUCGCAGCCCCGGACCAAGGCGCCCGCCGGAGGACCAACCAAAACUCUUAUUGUAUACCCCCUCGCGGGUUUUUUACUAUCUGAGCCAUCUCGGCGCCCCUCGUGGGCGUUUCGAAAAUGAAUCAAAACUUUCAACAACGGAUCUCUUGGUUCUGGCAUCGAUGAAGAACGCAGCGAAAUGCGAUAAGUAAUGUGAAUUGCAGAAUUCAGUGAAUCAUCGAAUCUUUGAACGCACAUUGCGCCCGCCAGUAUUCUGGCGGGCAUGCCUGUCCGAGCGUCAUUUCAACCCUCGAACCCCUCCGGGGGGUCGGCGUUGGGGAUCGGCCCUUUACGGGGCCGGCCCCGAAAUACAGUGGCGGUCUCGCCGCAGCCUCUCCUGCGCAGUAGUUUGCACACUCGCAUCGGGAGCGCGGCGCGUCCACAGCCGUUAAACACCCCAAACUUCUGAAAUGUUGACCUCGGAU